GACGAACGCUGGCGGCGUGCUUAACACAUGCAAGUCGAACGGAAAGGCCCUGCUUUUGUGGGGUGCUCGAGUGGCGAACGGGUGAGUAACACGUGAGUAACCUGCCCUUGACUUUGGGAUAACUUCAGGAAGCUGGGGCUAAUACCGGAUAGGAGCUCUUGCUGCAUGGUGGGGGUUGGAAAGUUUCGGCGGUUGGGGAUGGACUCGCGGCUUAUCAGCUUGUUGGUGGGGUAGUGGCUUACCAAGGCUUUGACGGGUAGCCGGCCUGAGAGGGUGACCGGCCACAUUGGGACUGAGAUACGGCCCAGACUCCUACGGGAGGCAGCAGUGGGGAAUAUUGCACAAUGGGCGGAAGCCUGAUGCAGCAACGCCGCGUGCGGGAUGACGGCCUUCGGGUUGUAAACCGCUUUCGCCUGUGACGAAGCGUGAGUGACGGUAAUGGGUAAAGAAGCACCGGCUAACUACGUG
Molecule: ribosomal RNA, 468 nt
Filed under: uncultured bacterium
Lineage: Bacteria
Description: partial 16S ribosomal RNA
Rfam family: Bacterial small subunit ribosomal RNA
Source: RNAcentral